UUAUGAUUAUAUAAUGAACAGAAAUUACAGAGAUUAUUUUUUACUGUGUUUAAUAGAUAAUUCGUAUUUAUUUAAACAGGUGUCCAACAUUCACAGCCUUCCAGUGAUUCUUUGGUUUUGGCAGUAGUGAAACAAGUAAAAGUUAGCAGUAUGGAGGAAGCUAAAUUAGACCUUCCUGAAGAAGACCUAACAGCCAGAGUAAAUGAAGAAAAGGAGGCUCAGAAGGAGGAAAUGCUAUGCCUUCAGACGUACAGUAUGAAACUGAACUCGGACAGAGAAGGAUCCAGACUGACCAACCAUCUUUUCUGCUCUUGGAGGGGAGGCUAAGCCUGACACAUAGGUCCUGCCUCCAGUACCUCCCAAAUGAAAAUAAAGGGACAAAGACAGCAGAAGAACAGACAACAGCUGCAGAAUUUUGGAAGCCAGAGUCAGAUGGGUGAGGGGACAUGGACUUCCCUGACCUGAUAUAGUUAAAUUCGACAUUGCUAUUCAUUGUUGUGGGUCGAGUAGUGUCCCCCUAAAGCUCAUGUCCACCCGGAACCUCACCAGGUGAUCUAAUUCAGAAAUAGAAUUUUGCAGAUGUAAUUAGUUAAGUUAAAAUGAGGUUUGAGAGCACCUGGGUGGCUCAGUGGUUGAGCAUCUACCUUUGGCUCAGGUCAUGAUCCCGGGGUCCUGGGAUCGAGUCCCACAUUGGGCUCCCCACAGGGAGCCUGCUUCUCCCUCUGUGUCUCUGCAUGUCUCUCAUGAAUAAAUAAAUAA
This 759-nucleotide long non-coding RNA is filed under the name Vulpes vulpes (red fox). RNAcentral's name for it is "lncRNA (ENSVVUG00000005563.1)". Lineage: Eukaryota; Metazoa; Chordata; Mammalia; Carnivora; Canidae. The record is from RNAcentral.